Molecule: ribosomal RNA, 253 nt
Filed under: uncultured bacterium
Lineage: Bacteria
Description: partial 16S ribosomal RNA
Rfam family: Bacterial small subunit ribosomal RNA
Source: RNAcentral
AACGUAGGUGGCAAGCGUUAUCCGGAUUCACUGGGCGUAAAGCGCGCGUAGGCGGCUUUUCAAGUCGAUUGUGAAAUCCCCGGGCUUAACCUGGGAACUGCAGUCGAGACUGUCUAGCUAGAGUAUGGGAGAGGGAAGUGGAAUUUCAGGUGUAGCGGUGAAAUGCGUAGAUAUCUGAAGGAACAUCAGUGGCGAAAGCGACUUCCUGGACCAAUACUGACGCUCAUGUGCGAAAGCGUGGGGAGCAAACAGG